Molecule: ribosomal RNA, 493 nt
Filed under: uncultured bacterium
Lineage: Bacteria
Description: partial 16S ribosomal RNA
Rfam family: Bacterial small subunit ribosomal RNA
Source: RNAcentral
AUUGAACGCUGGCGGCAUGCUUUACACAUGCAAGUCGAACGGUAACAGGUUAAGCUGACGAGUGGCGAACGGGUGAGUAAUGCAUCGGAACGUGCCCAGUCGCGGGGGAUAACGCAGCGAAAGCUGCGCUAAUACCGCAUACGAUCUGAGGAUGAAAGCAGGGGACCGUAAGGCCUCGCGCGAUCGGAGCGGCCGAUGUCAGAUUAGGUAGUUGGUGGGGUAAAGGCUCACCAAGCCGACGAUCUGUAGCUGGUCUGAGAGGACGACCAGCCACACUGGGACUGAGACACGGCCCAGACUCCUACGGGAGGCAGCAGUGGGGAAUUUUGGACAAUGGGCGCAAGCCUGAUCCAGCAAUGCCGCGUGCAGGAUGAAGGCCUUCGGGUUGUAAACUGCUUUUGUACGGAACGAAAAGGUUUGGCCUAAUAAGCUGAGCUCAUGACGGUACCGUAAGAAUAAGCACCGGCUAACUACGUGCCAGCCGCCGCCGUAA